This 253-nucleotide ribosomal RNA is filed under the name uncultured bacterium. Its description in RNAcentral is "partial 16S ribosomal RNA". It matches the Rfam family "Bacterial small subunit ribosomal RNA", at positions 524 to 776 of the family's 1533-position model. The record is from RNAcentral.
UACGUAGGGGGCAAGCGUUGUCCGGAUUUAUUGGGCGUAAAGAGCGUGUAGGCGGCCAGGUAGGUCUGCUGUGAAAACUCGAGGCUCAACCUCGAGACGUCGGCGGAAACCAUCUGGCUAGAGUCCGGAAGAGGAGAGUGGAAUUCCUGGUAUAGCGGUGAAAUGCGCAGAUAUCAGGAAGAACACCCGUGGCGAAGGCGGCUCUCUGGGACGGUACUGACGCUGAGACGCGAAAGCGUGGGGAGCGAACAGG